RNAcentral lists this ribosomal RNA (577 nucleotides) under uncultured Veillonella sp. RNAcentral's name for it is "bacterial SSU rRNA". It matches the Rfam family "Bacterial small subunit ribosomal RNA", at positions 45 to 591 of the family's 1533-position model. Lineage: Bacteria; Bacillati; Bacillota; Negativicutes; Veillonellales; Veillonellaceae. The record is from RNAcentral.
UGCUUAACACAUGCAAGUCGAACGAAGAGCGAUGGAAGCUUGCUUCUAUCAAUCUUAGUGGCGAACGGGUGAGUAACGCGUAAUCAACCUGCCCUUCAGAGGGGGACAACAGUUGGAAACGACUGCUAAUACCGCAUACGAUCCAACCUCGGCAUCGAGGAUGGAUGAAAGGUGGCCUCUAUUUAUAAGCUAUCACUGAAGGAGGGGAUUGCGUCUGAUUAGCUAGUUGGAGGGGUAACGGCCCACCAAGGCGAUGAUCAGUAGCCGGUCUGAGAGGAUGAACGGCCACAUUGGGACUGAGACACGGCCCAGACUCCUACGGGAGGCAGCAGUGGGGAAUCUUCCGCAAUGGACGAAAGUCUGACGGAGCAACGCCGCGUGAGUGAUGACGGCCUUCGGGUUGUAAAGCUCUGUUAAUCGGGACGAAAGGUCUUCUUGCGAAUAGUUAGAAGAAUUGACGGUACCGGAAUAGAAAGCCACGGCUAACUACGUGCCAGCAGCCGCGGUAAUACGUAGGUGGCAAGCGUUGUCCGGAAUUAUUGGGCGUAAAGCGCGCGCAGGCGGAUCAGUCAGUCUG